This 394-nucleotide ribosomal RNA is filed under the name uncultured bacterium. Its description in RNAcentral is "partial 16S ribosomal RNA". It matches the Rfam family "Bacterial small subunit ribosomal RNA", at positions 338 to 729 of the family's 1533-position model. The record is from RNAcentral.
CCUACGGGUGGCAGCAGUGAGGAAUAUUGGUCAAUGGACGAGAGUCUGAACCAGCCAAGUCGCGUGAAGGAUGACUGCCCUAUGGGUUGUAAACUUCUUUUGUCAGGGAAUAAAACGAGGCACGUGUCCCUUUUUGCAUGUACCUGAUGAAUAAGCAUCGGCUAACUCCGUGCCAGCAGCCGCGGUAAUACGGAGGAUCCGAGCGUUAUCCGGAUUUAUUGGGUUUAAAGGGUGCGUAGUUGGGUUGUUAAGUCAGCUGUGAAAGUGUGGGGCUCAACCGGAAAAUUGCAUUUGAUACUGGCAGUCUGGAGUGCAGGUGAGGUAGGCGGAAUGCGUGGUGUAGCGGUGAAAUGCAUAGAGAUCACGAAGAACCCCGAUUGCGAAGGCAGCUUAC